GAUGAACGCUGGCGGCGUGCCUAAUACAUGCAAGUCGAGCGAACAGAUGAGGAGCUUGCUCCUCUGACGUUAGCGGCGGACGGGUGAGUAACACGUGGAUAACCUACCUAUAAGACUGGGAUAACUUCGGGAAACCGGAGCUAAUACCGGAUAAUAUAUUGAACCGCAUGGUUCAAUAGUGAAAGACGGUUUUGCUGUCACUUAUAGAUGGAUCCGCGCCGCAUUAGCUAGUUGGUAAGGUAACGGCUUACCAAGGCAACGAUGCGUAGCCGACCUGAGAGGGGGUCGGGCAAAAUUGAAACGAGGAAAGGGCCAAAAUCCCAAGGGAGGGCAGAAGUGGGAAAUUUCCGGAAAUGGCGAAAGCCUGACGGAGCAACGCCGCGUGAGUGAUGAAGGUCUUCGGAUCGUAAAACUCUGUUAUUAGGGAAGAACAAAUGUGUAAGUAACUAUGCACGUCUUGACGGUACCUAAUCAGAAAGCCACGGCUAACUACGUG
RNAcentral lists this ribosomal RNA (496 nucleotides) under uncultured bacterium. RNAcentral describes it as "partial 16S ribosomal RNA". It matches the Rfam family "Bacterial small subunit ribosomal RNA", at positions 28 to 507 of the family's 1533-position model. The record is from RNAcentral.